This 1390-nucleotide ribosomal RNA is filed under the name Plantibacter cousiniae (nom. nud.). RNAcentral's name for it is "bacterial SSU rRNA". It matches the Rfam family "Bacterial small subunit ribosomal RNA". Lineage: Bacteria; Bacillati; Actinomycetota; Actinomycetes; Micrococcales; Microbacteriaceae. The record is from RNAcentral.
GCCCAGCUUGCUGGGUGGAUUAGUGGCGAACGGGUGAGUAACACGUGAGUAACCUGCCCUUGACUCUGGGAUAAGCGUUGGAAACGACGUCUAAUACCGGAUACGAGCUUCCACCGCAUGGUGAGUUGCUGGAAAGAAUUUUGGUCAAGGAUGGACUCGCGGCCUAUCAGCUUGUUGGUGAGGUAAUGGCUCACCAAGGCGACGACGGGUAGCCGGCCUGAGAGGGUGACCGGCCACACUGGGACUGAGACACGGCCCAGACUCCUACGGGAGGCAGCAGUGGGGAAUAUUGCACAAUGGGCGAAAGCCUGAUGCAGCAACGCCGCGUGAGGGACGACGGCCUUCGGGUUGUAAACCUCUUUUAGCAGGGAAGAAGCGAAAGUGACGGUACCUGCAGAAAAAGCACCGGCUAACUACGUGCCAGCAGCCGCGGUAAUACGUAGGGUGCAAGCGUUGUCCGGAAUUAUUGGGCGUAAAGAGCUCGUAGGCGGUUUGUCGCGUCUGCUGUGAAAUCCCGAGGCUCAACCUCGGGUCUGCAGUGGGUACGGGCAGACUAGAGUGCGGUAGGGGAGAUUGGAAUUCCUGGUGUAGCGGUGGAAUGCGCAGAUAUCAGGAGGAACACCGAUGGCGAAGGCAGAUCUCUGGGCCGCUACUGACGCUGAGGAGCGAAAGGGUGGGGAGCAAACAGGCUUAGAUACCCUGGUAGUCCACCCCGUAAACGUUGGGCGCUAGAUGUGGGGACCAUUCCACGGUUUCCGUGUCGUAGCUAACGCAUUAAGCGCCCCGCCUGGGGAGUACGGCCGCAAGGCUAAAACUCAAAGGAAUUGACGGGGGCCCGCACAAGCGGCGGAGCAUGCGGAUUAAUUCGAUGCAACGCGAAGAACCUUACCAAGGCUUGACAUAUACGAGAACGGGCCAGAAAUGGUCAACUCUUUGGACACUCGUAAACAGGUGGUGCAUGGUUGUCGUCAGCUCGUGUCGUGAGAUGUUGGGUUAAGUCCCGCAACGAGCGCAACCCUCGUUCUAUGUUGCCAGCACGUAAUGGUGGGAACUCAUGGGAUACUGCCGGGGUCAACUCGGAGGAAGGUGGGGACGACGUCAAAUCAUCAUGCCCCUUAUGUCUUGGGCUUCACGCAUGCUACAAUGGCCAGUACAAAGGGCUGCAAUACCGUAAGGUGGAGCGAAUCCCAAAAAGCUGGUCCCAGUUCGGAUUGAGGUCUGCAACUCGACCUCAUGAAGUCGGAGUCGCUAGUAAUCGCAGAUCAGCAACGCUGCGGUGAAUACGUUCCCGGGCCUUGUACACACCGCCCGUCAAGUCAUGAAAGUCGGUAACACCCGAAGCCAGUGGCCUAACCGCAAGGAUGGAGCUGUCUAAGUGAUUCCGUUUCCU